Heterocephalus glaber (naked mole-rat) is the source of this 1323-nucleotide long non-coding RNA. Lineage: Eukaryota; Metazoa; Chordata; Mammalia; Rodentia; Bathyergidae. The record is from Ensembl.
GGAGGGAAAGAGGGGCUUCGCAGGUGAGGUGGCACCGAAAGGGCUGCUUAGGGGACCCGAAGGGUAAGGCCUGUCUAACUCCUAAUGUGUCUGCCCUCAUUUGUCACAGUUCAAGUGCCUGACAUCUCUGAGACAAUCCCCCUCUGAAAAGAAAGGCCUGUGAGGGGGACACUGGUGAGCAUCUCUGGAGAUUUCCCUCCUUCCCAGGGAUCCCUGCGCUCAUCUUCCUCUCAGCAUCCAGGAAGGGCAGAAGGCCCGCUUUUCAGGCUUGGGGCUGCCACCCCCCAGAGCUGUCAACCAAGGGGUUGUCUCCAGAAGAGGCAGAAAGCAGAUGAGACAGGGAAAGGGUUGAGGGGGCCAUUUAGAGUCAAGCCGGGUUAAUCCUCCUUCUUUAAGACUGAUGCCAAAUCAGAGGUUCCCCAAGAUUCUCAGGCAUGGAGACCCCACCAGCCUGAGCUCACAUACUCACUUUACACUGACCCUCACACUCACACUCCUCACACUCACUUGACGUUCUGGAGGGACAUCUGAGAGGAAUGGAUGGUCUAUUACAUGUGAAAGUUGUACACAGAGUAACUACUUCACUUUUACUAUGCAGACCACCCGGAUUUUAAUGAAAAGUUGGGAAGGGGCUUAGUUUUUCUGGUUUUUCUUGUUCUCUCUCUCUUCUAAUUUCUUGGGUGAUUUUUCCAAAGGUGACUUUUUCUUAAGAUACUUUUUCUUAAGCGAAGGGCUUAAAGUCAAAUAAUGAGACACAUUUCUCACUUAGAUUAUGGAGAGCUAGCCUACGUGUAAUUUGCUUUCACAAUUUCCUCCACUUGCUGACUGCCAUGACCAAGCACUUCUUAAAUGUUUAACAGCAGCAGGGGUCCCUGCAGGGAGGCUCUGGAGUUUUGUCCCUGCUGGAGGAUCCUAUCUAUGUCAAUGUACAUUUUGCAAGUUAGACAAGGAAUCAAGAGUUGAGAACAAUGCCAUACUAUUGGAGCAUGAGGCCAAAGGAAGAAUGUGAGCCUCUAUGUACACUUAUCAAGUUACUUAUCAUAUUCUGGAUUGAGUGGGAAAGAUCAAAAGCACUCCGUAAUCACAAAACAUGACUAUAUUUAAACUCCAUGUUCCCCCACCUACCUACACCCCAUUGUCAACCCAUAUAAACUGUGCACCAGGGGACAGUCAAGAUACCCAGGAACCACAACCUGAAUAGAAGUCACUUUCCCUGUUGAGUGUCACAAAACAAAAAAACAAAAAAUACCUAUCUUUGGGUCAACUCUUGAUACUGUGUUCAUAACGGAUUUUGGAUGUUUAUUUGGAGAUUUUAAAUGUUGC